Long non-coding RNA from Vitis riparia (riverbank grape), 2135 nucleotides. RefSeq lists it as uncharacterized. The transcript is spliced from 2 exons. Lineage: Eukaryota; Viridiplantae; Streptophyta; Magnoliopsida; Vitales; Vitaceae. The record is from RefSeq and is a predicted model, not a curated record.
CCUUCGUUAACCCCGACACCGUUUGGUUUUCUGCGUUUCAGCCUCUGUUUUUUCACCUCUCCCUUGUUACCAAAACGACGCCGUUCAUUGUUCUCAGGGGUCUCUUGUCUUCUUCCCUACAGAUCACCGGCCUUCAAUUUCUCGACUUCCUCCAUUCUGCCGGAAAAUGAAGCUCUUUUUGAUCUCCACUAGCCAGUGUUGGGUUCUUGAAAUGGGUUGCAGCCCAUUAGAAAGGAUUGCUCCAAAAGAACUGAGGAUUCUAUAAAAUGACGGGGAUUUCACUUCCUAAGAAUAUGUCCAUAAAUGCUUCAGGUACAAACCCUAAUAGAAUAAACAACUAUAAAGUAUACAUGCAAAGUACUAAUUCUAUACAAUCAUGUGAUUGGGUUCUUGAAAGAUUCAGAUGUUAAUUUGAUGGAAGUAGGAAAAUAAAUUUGUGCAUGGAAAUAAUUUAGACACAAGUUUUAACAUUCAUUUUCACAUCUACCUUGGCUGGAGGAAUAAGUGCUUUCAACCCUAAAACAUGGCUGGAUUGAAGGGAAGAUUAAAAAGAUAUGUAGUUGAAUCUUCCAGUGAAAUUAGUGCUUUGCAUAAUUAUAAUGCAUAAUGCUUAUCUCAAUCAUGAGUUAGUUUCUUUUGGGAAAUUAGGGUAGUGGAUCCGCAAUAAUGCCUUCCUCAACUGAGUUUCCUUGUUUGUGUUAUGUUAAUGAGCUGAAUUUUAGCUACAUAGAACCCUAACUAGCACCAAAUCAUUAUGUCAAAUCUUCUUCCUCUUAUUCUAAUAACAAAGUUAGGAAUUAGUAUGAAGUCAGUAGUUCAAAGCAGGAAAACAAUAUGCCAAGCCUUUUUCCUCUUAUUCUAGUAGCAAAACAGCAGUAGAGAUGAAACCGGGACUCCCAAGACACUAACUUGGUUAGGCGCAGGGUAGUACAAGCUCCCUUGAGAAGAGGGUAUGGACAUAGCUUUUAGCAACAGUAAGUAGAAAAAAUUCUUACUAGAUUACACUUUUUUCGCCAAAAAGGAGCAGAAGAACUCUCAUCUGAAAUCUACACAGAUUUUGAAGGUGUGAGAUGCUAACAUAACUAUGUUUCUUUUACCGUAACUUUAUUUGAUUAGUUCUUUAACCAUAACUGUAUUCUUUUUGUCAUUGUGAUGUUGAGUUUCUUUUGGAACUCAUGGUUGAGCCUUCCACAGUGAGGAGAUGUCGGCCACGGCUUCUCCAACUGCCAGGUAGAGUCCAUUCAACCCAAAGGAAUCCAAUAUUUUUGACUGAUGUAGCUUUUCCAUCACAUUUCCAGCGGGAUUUGCCAACACAAACUACACGUGGAAGUGGAAAUAAGGACUGGUGUUAGAAAGUGGGCAUUUACUAGAAAAAACUAUGCAUAAUUGAUUAGAUGUUUCUUCUUACCUGAAGUGAUCUUUUCUCCAGCAUCUUUCGGAGUUCACAUAUCGCGUCAAUACCACUUGUGUCUAUUGCUGUCACAGCUGCAAGAAUGGAAAAUCAUAAGGCAAAGGUACAGGGAUAGCUGAAUUUGUUAUUUCAUUUAUAAACUUGAUUUAAAAGUUAAAAGUGCAUUGAUUGGAUGGCUUAAACCACCCAAAACCACUUAGGAAGUUGGUUUUUGAAACCGAAAUAAACCCAAACCCAACAAUAAUUGAGAAAUGGAUACACAUCUCUACAUCAGUACAGGAGACUCCACAUUGUAGAACAGCUAAGGAAAGAAAAAGGCCACCACUAUGUAAUCUUCUUGUGGGUGAAGUUCCCCUCUUAUCUGUGGUGGAUUAUUCUCUACAAACCCUAACCAACCUAUUGCCAUUCCUACCAUACAGAAUUGGAGAAAUCUCAUUUUCCCACAGAACAAACAAAUAUAUAAGCCAUCCCAAACUCAACUGGUUCUGAAUUUGCUUUAUGGAAAUAACUUGACACUUUUCAGGCAAUUGAGUGCAGCAUGAUCAUGUGCUUAUAAGCAGAGAACUGUUGAAAAUUUAGCAAAAGGUUCGUAUAUACCUGUCAUGUCUAAAAUUACACAUUUCAGCGCAUUCCCAUUGUUUGCUUGUAUCUGCUCUUCUUCCUCGCGGACCCAUCUUAGUAUCCUGGAAUAGGAGAAUUCUUCAAUCAGAUAAACUUGACACAA